GACGUAGGGCGCGAGCGUUGUCCGGAUUUAUUGGGCGUAAAGAGCUCGUAGGCGGCUUGUCGCGUCGUCCGUGAAAACCCACAGCUCAACUGUGGGCUUGCGGUCGAUACGGGCAGGCUAGAGUUCGGUAGGGGAGACUGGAAUUCCUGGUGUAGCGGUGAAAUGCGCAGAUAUCAGGAGGAACACCGGUGGCGAAGGCGGCAUCCUGGACCGGUAUUGACGCUGAGGCGCGAAAGCCAGGGGAGCAAACGGG
Molecule: ribosomal RNA, 253 nt
Filed under: uncultured bacterium
Lineage: Bacteria
Description: partial 16S ribosomal RNA
Rfam family: Bacterial small subunit ribosomal RNA
Source: RNAcentral